AACACUGACGUCGCGACGCAUAUCAAUAAGCGGAGGAAAAGAAACUAACUAGGAUUCCCUUAGUAACGGCGAGUGAAGCGGGAAGAGCUCAAAUUUGAAAUCUUCAAGGUUUUACCUUGACGAAUUGUAGUUUAAAGAAGUGUUUUCUGUUGGAGUUUUGGUAAAAGUUCUUUGGAAUAGGACAUCAUAGAGGGUGAGAAUCCCGUAUUUGACCAUUAUUUCAGCUGUGUGAUACACUUUCAAAGAGUCGGAUUGUUUGGGAAUGCAGUCCAAAAUGGGUGGUAAAUUUCAUCUAAAGCUAAAUAUUGGCGAGAGACCGAUAGCGAACAAGUACCGUGAGGGAAAGAUGAAAAGAACUUUGAAAAGAGAGUUAAACAGUACGUGAAAUUGUCAAAAGGGAAGCGUUUGACACCAGUGUUGUUUUUCCGAAAAUCAAUUAUAAAUGUUUUGUUUCUGAGGAGUGAUGACUUCAUCGGCUUCCUUCUCUCUUCACGAAACUUUUGUAAUGCACUUUUCGGUUAACAAGUCAACAUCGAUUUCUUUUGUUGUAAAAGGGUCAUUGGAAGGUGGCUUUCUUUUCGGAGAAAGUGUUUAUAGCCUUUGGCCUCUGCAAUCGGAGAGAUUGAGGUCUGCAGCGUAGAUCCUUCGGGGUUAGAUACAUUUGUGCUAAGUUAUAGCCUUUCAUAGACAACUUGUUGACUAUGAUCAGUCAUGUAGCUUACUCGCUUAUGCUAUUUUACCUACGCUUAGGAUGUUGAGUCGUAGAGCACGCAG
RNAcentral lists this ribosomal RNA (774 nucleotides) under uncultured Neocallimastigales. RNAcentral describes it as "partial large subunit ribosomal RNA". It matches the Rfam family "Eukaryotic large subunit ribosomal RNA", at positions 23 to 634 of the family's 3401-position model. The record is from RNAcentral. Lineage: Eukaryota; Fungi; Neocallimastigomycota; Neocallimastigomycetes; Neocallimastigales.